CUAGAAUAAUUUUUUUAAAUGAUUUUUGUUAAACCUUGAAUAUUUUGAAUUGUGCUGGGAUAGAUAUAUUUUAUAAUUUAGUAUCUUUUGCGUUAUUAAGCAACUUCUUAGUAUUUUGAUGUUUUUGUCACAAAUUCUAUCAACUAGCAAUUUGGAUGACCAAGAAACUACAUCAGAAUGAUAGAUAAUGGUAAGUUAAAAGAAUCUUGUUAAUUAUCAUGCCAAAAUAUAGAAUACAAUCAUUCAAUGUGAUUAUUAAAUAAUUGUAACCUUACUAAUGUGGACACUUAAGUAUAUAUAGGUUAGAACACUAACAACCUUUUGCCGACUAAAGGCUUGCGACUCGCCAGCAGAAGUGAGAUUGCUUCCUUGGUUCUCUCUCGUGUUCCGAGCUGACAUGAACUACGCUGGAUGCUGUGAAAAGUUCGCUAAAGAUGGCAUCAAAAUAUUAAAUCUAAUCGAAUGAGUUGCAAGUUAUAAGGAGAGAAAACAUUAUUACUUAGAAACAUCUAUCGAAACAUAUGCAGCAUUCCCAUCUCUUUCUCAACAUAAGAAUCGGCUGAAUCGAAAAACGGGCCAUUCUGACAUCAAUUUCUGUAAAGGGCCGAAUAAAUCAGACGCCACAGAAUGGAGCCAGCAUGCGAGAGCCUUCUGCAUGUAGCCGUCCUCCCCAGGAAAAUGUUGCCAGGCAAGUAACGAACCACUUAGUGCUAAAACAAGACAAGAAAUGUUUCCAGGCGAUGUGUAAGUGUCAUAUUUGCAGAGUGACUACUUCAGUUUCUGUCAGAUUCUCUAUCAGCAAUCUGUAUGAUGGCAAAUAUUUUCUCAUAAUGGUAUUAGUAUAUACAAGUUGGAAAACCUACUGCUUAUAUAAUUGCUCUUUUUCUGAGUGAAGACUUCCUAUUUACACCUAAAGUAAGACGGCUUUCAUGAAUCCACAUAUGUCCUGAAUCG
Molecule: long non-coding RNA, 954 nt
Organism: Argiope bruennichi
Lineage: Eukaryota; Metazoa; Arthropoda; Arachnida; Araneae; Araneidae
Exons: 5
Source: RefSeq, a predicted model, not a curated record